This 83-nucleotide transfer RNA is filed under the name Candidatus Pacearchaeota archaeon. RNAcentral's name for it is "tRNA-Ser". It matches the Rfam family "tRNA". Rfam says of the family: Transfer RNA (tRNA) molecules are approximately 80 nucleotides in length. The record is from RNAcentral. Lineage: Archaea; Nanobdellati.
GCCGACGUCGCAUAAUGGUAUUGCAGUGGAUUGCUAAUCCACGACGGUUUUCCGUCCUCGGAGUUCGAUUCUCCGCGUCGGCG